GACGAACGCUGGCGGCGUGCUUAACACAUGCAAGUCGAACGGUGAAGGGACCGGUUUUUGCUGGUUCUGGAUGAGUGGCGAACGGGUGAGUAACACGUUAGUAACCUGCCCCCUUCUUCUGGAUAACCUCAUGAAAGUGUGGCUAAUACGGUAUAUUCUGCGCCUGCUGCAUGGUGGGUGUGGGAAAGAUAUUGUUUCUGUGGGGUAUGGGCUCGCGGCCUAUCAGCUUGUUGGUGGGGUGAUGGCCUACCAAGGCGGUGACGGGUAGCCGGCCUGAGAGGGUGGACGGUCACAAUGGGACUGAGACACGGCCCAGACUCCUACGGGAGGCAGCAGUGGGGAAUAUUGCACAAUGGGCGCAAGACUGAUGAAGCGACGCCGCGUGAGGGAUGGAGGCCGUCGGGUUGUAAACCUCUUUCGCCAGUGAAGCAGGACUGUCCCUUUUGUGGGUGGGUUGACGGUAGCUGGAUAAGAAGCGCCGGCUAACUACGUG
RNAcentral lists this ribosomal RNA (493 nucleotides) under uncultured bacterium. RNAcentral's name for it is "partial 16S ribosomal RNA". It matches the Rfam family "Bacterial small subunit ribosomal RNA", at positions 28 to 507 of the family's 1533-position model. The record is from RNAcentral.